Molecule: long non-coding RNA, 939 nt
Organism: Lucilia cuprina (Australian sheep blowfly)
Lineage: Eukaryota; Metazoa; Arthropoda; Insecta; Diptera; Calliphoridae
Exons: 5
Source: RefSeq, a predicted model, not a curated record
CGUAAAGACCACCUUUUCAAAAAAAGAAAUAUGUUCAAUAUUCCCCUCAGAGGAACUUGAUUUUUAUAAAAGCGGAAAGAGAGGGAAAAUUUACAAUAAAGUAGCUAAUUUAAAAAGGCUUUCAAAGGAUGUUUUAAAAAAUGUGAAAGUAAACCUGAUAUAAAUACUUUAGAAGAGUCAGAAGAAAAUUCUACCCUGUAUUUACAAUAUCUUCAAAGUGAACAAAUAACAGCUGGGGAGUUUGACAUUUAUUGGCGCAGAUUGUGCGUCAUUUCGGUUCAAACAGAUAUCGGAAUCUCAGACAACAGCUGAAAUUUUCAAGUUAUGGCCUGACUACAUAAAACCAUCAGGUUUUCAUUUGAUUGAUAUAGAUUUCGCCCUAAAGUUUCCAAUGGCCAAAAAUUUGCAUGAACGAUGGCCUAAAUUUAGCGAACAAAUUUUGUGUGUUUUAAAAACUAAAAUUUCUUCCGCAUACAUUUCUAAAAAGCUUUGCCGAUAUUGAGUCCAAAAAUGAUGAGUCCAAAACAUUUAUGAUUUUCUGGUUUCUACAUAACCUUUUCCCACCACAACUUAAAGUUUCUACAGAGUCUAGUGGCGCAAAGUUUCGAAAAAAUACUCAAUUGCUGAUUCCCAAGAAGGAUUCGCAAUAAUAGCAAAUACAUUAGAGGAAUUGGAAGUUAAAAUCAAAUUACUGAAGCUACAAUGCCGAAAUAUACAGCCAAGAUUAUUAAUUAUAGGCGAAAUAUGCAAUAUUAAAUCUAUUUUUGUUUUUGUAGACAAUGUGAAAUAUCCAAUUUUGACAUUUUUAAAUGCUCAUGAUGUAUUGUUUAAAAUUUUUUUUAUUUAAUCUUGAGUAUCCGGAAGAAUCCGAUGUUUUUUAUAAUUUCAUACAAUCAUUUUUAUACGAUUUACCUACUACAAAAAAAUAUUCAAAAGUUU